CAGCAGCCGCGGUAAUACGAAGGGUGCAAGCGUUAAUCGGAAUUACUGGGCGUAAAGCGUGCGUAGGCGGUUUGUUAAGUCUGCUGUGAAAUCCCCGAGCUUAACUUGGGAACUGCAUUUGAAACUGGCAGGCUAGAGUCUCGUAGAGGGGGGUAGAAUUCCAGGUGUAGCGGUGAAAUGCGUAGAGAUCUGGAGGAAUACCGGUGGCGAAGGCGGCCCCCUGGACGAAGACUGACGCUCAGGUACGAAAGCGUGGGGAGCAAACAGGAUUAGAUACCCGCGUAGUCCCUGUCUCUUAUAC
RNAcentral lists this ribosomal RNA (301 nucleotides) under uncultured bacterium. RNAcentral's name for it is "partial 16S ribosomal RNA". It matches the Rfam family "Bacterial small subunit ribosomal RNA", at positions 509 to 807 of the family's 1533-position model. The record is from RNAcentral.